Nothobranchius furzeri (turquoise killifish) is the source of this 2023-nucleotide non-coding RNA. Lineage: Eukaryota; Metazoa; Chordata; Actinopteri; Cyprinodontiformes; Nothobranchiidae. The record is from RefSeq and is a predicted model, not a curated record.
CUUGUUUAUAACUUCCCUGUUAGCGGGGUUCAGUUAGCAUCUUGAAAGCUGAAUUAGGUGUUUACACUUUCCUGAGCUGCGUGUCUGAUUAAAAUGAGUAAUCAGCAGCUCAUGUAGCACUUGUAGAAGUCUGAGGAGAUGAUUCAGCAGUUAGAAUUAGGUGUGAUUGAUCAGGAACGUAUCCAAAACCUUACGUUUCCAUUAGCACUGAAAGACUUAUUGUGCUAACCUGGGUGGGCCACGUGUACAGAUUACCGUCUGAGUUUGUGGUCUUACCUACGUGAAUACUCCAUAUUAAAAUAAAAGGAAUGAUAAUCAGCUCGUGCAAAAAUCUGUGAAGGCUGGGGAGACUUGCUUAGCUUGUGAUCACUAAUUUUUGGGCUUUGUUUUUUACAGUCAUCAGUCCAAAUAUGAAGCAUCAACAUCUACACCAUUGAAACGCCAACUGUUUAUUUCUCCAACACCAGUGCCAGCUCUGUCUAGCAUUCAUGGAGGGUCAUCUGAAAGCUAUGUUAAUUUGGAGGAGGUGAUGGAACAAGGUGAAACUAAAAAAGAAGGAUCUUCACAAAUGUUAUCUUGUGUGGGAAUUGAAGCAAACAUUGACGAGGAAGAGUUCAACAAUAUUCAAAACUCUGUGAUAGAGUCAUCAGAUGACACAUGGUCACCAAACAGAGAACCAGAAGUUGAUUCGUCUUCAGAGGAUGAUGAAACCAUCGAGAUGGACAGCGGUACUGAUGACGGUGGUGAUGAGGACUACACACCUUAUAUACACAUAAGGUAAUUCUUUUCGUUUAACAUUCUAUAAAACUGCAAUAGCGCAUAGUUAAUAAAAAGCUUUUGUUUACAGGACUGGAGCAGCAUUACAAAAAACAUUACAACUUGAGACUCUGCAAGAAAUUAACAUAGAGGACACAGUUCAUGACUGUAAUAUCCCAGAAGCAACUGACCGACGUUUGACAAGCAAGAAAGGUCUUCCUCGACGCUACAAGCUAAGGCCUGAGGAUCCAAGGCGUUAUGGUUUGCUGUCCGGAGUUCCUGCACCAUCAACAGAGGAACUUCUACAACACCUACGGACUUGCGGUGAUGGUAAAACUUUGCCACAGACAUAGGUGUUGGGGGAGGCAAGAGAAAACCCAAAACCUUCUUUAUUUUUGUUUCCUGUGUUUUUUUUUUAAAUAAAGAUAUAUUUUGGGGAAAUAAGGACUAAUAAUUUAAAAAUUUAUGUAAAAUGUUGGAGGUAGACAUAAUUUUUUGUUGUUGUGCAGGAGUUUUAAAAUUUAUGGUAUUUUUACAAAUGCAACACAGAGUUGUGCUUUAGAACACUUUAUUAGAGCAUCAAACAAAAAUAUAUAAAAACAAACUUAUGUAAAAUAUCAAAUAUAUACAUUUAUUUACAAUCGUCUUGGAAUAAAACUAGUGUAGUUACCAUUGGGGUCAGGGAAUUUUGCAGAAUAAACUCCUCCAUGUGUGGUACAGUUGAAAUACAUGUCUGGGGAGGCUGUUGGCAGCAUUUCUUUUCCAAAUCAGUUGGCAUAUCUCUGCAGUGGGAGCAUACACACCAUGAAGGUUGAUUGGGUGUUGGAGGUGUUGUGGCAGGUGGACCAGAGAGGGCAAGUACAUCAAAGAGAACACCAAUGUCUGUCCAGCACCAUAGUAAGGAUGUCAAUAGCCUGCUGAGGGUUCAGGUUCUGUAUGUGUUGCUACAAAAGUGGAAAGAGAUGCUACAGCAACAGUAUUUAGGAUCAUUUAGUGUAAUUUUGUUAUGCUUACACGUUCAAAGUCUAUUCGCUCGGAACAAAGAUUCCGAACUCGAAAGAGAUCUUCAUCUCCAAGGUCCACAGCUGAGUGUCUCACACUUCUUCGGCCUCUGGAUGCACCGCGGCCUCUAGACACACCACGGCCUCUGGAUGCACCACGGCUUUGAGAUGAUGGUGGGCAUCUCCUUUUUGCACCACGUCUUGAGGAUGCAAUAGGAGGUUCAAACUCUUCCUCAGAGGAUUCCUCAAUCACUGAACUCUAAAUU